AUUGAACGCUGGCGGAAUGCUUUACACAUGCAAGUCGAACAGCAGCACGGACUUCGGUCUGGUGGCGAGUGGCGAACGGGUGAGUAAUGUAUCGGAACGUGCCCAGUCGUGGGGGAUAACGUAGUGAAAAUUACGCUAAUACCGCAUACGAUCUAUGGAUGAAAGCGGGGGAUCGCAAGACCUCGCGCGAUUGGAGGCGCCGAUAUCAGAUUAGGAAGUUGGUGGGGUAAAGGCCCAGCAAGCCAACGAUCUGUAGCUGGUCUGAGAGGACGACCAGCCACACUGGAACUGAGACACGGUCCAGACUCCUACGGGAGGCAGCAGUGGGGAAUUGUGGACAAUGGGCGAAAGCCUGAUCCAGCCAUUCCGCGUGCAGGAUGAAGGCCCUCGGGUUGUAAACUGCUUUUGUACAGAACGAAAAGGUUUCUACGAAUAGUAGGAGCUCAUGACGGUACUGUAAGAAUAAGCACCGGCUAACUACGUGCCAGCCGCCGCAGUAA
Molecule: ribosomal RNA, 500 nt
Filed under: uncultured bacterium
Lineage: Bacteria
Description: partial 16S ribosomal RNA
Rfam family: Bacterial small subunit ribosomal RNA
Source: RNAcentral